RNAcentral lists this long non-coding RNA (255 nucleotides) under Homo sapiens (human). Its description in RNAcentral is "HSALNT0316931". Lineage: Eukaryota; Metazoa; Chordata; Mammalia; Primates; Hominidae. The record is from RNAcentral.
UUCUUUGUGAACUUGGAGCGCUGGUAGAGUGCUUUUCCUCAUUGCUAGUAAAAUAGGAAAUGGAGGGACUCCACGCAGAACCCCCUUCCCAAGUUUACCUUUCCUCCUUUGCAGGGAACUGCUGCCUCCCAGAGGAUAAAUGCGCAGAUAGUCUUUCCAUUAUCCGAAAUUCACAACCAUGAACCUGGCUGUUUGUUGUUGGUGCUGACUCGCAGGCAUGGAUGGAGUGCAAUGGCACAAUCUCGGCUGACUGCA